GAUGAACGCUGGCGGCGUGCCUAAUACAUGCAAGUCGAGCGAACGGACGAGAAGCUUGCUUCUCUGAUGUUAGCGGCGGACGGGUGAGUAACACGUGGAUAACCUACCUAUAAGACUGGGAUAACUUCGGGAAACCGUAGCUGAUACCGGAUAAUAUUUUGAACCGCAUGGUUCAAAAGUGAAAGACGGUCUUGCUGUCACUUAUAGAUGGAUCCGCGCUGCAUUAGCUAGUUGGUAAGGUAACGGCUUACCAAGGCAACGAUGCAUAGCCGACCUGAGAGGGUGAUCGGCCACACUGGAACUGAGACACGGUCCAGACUCCUACGGGAGGCAGCAGUAGGGAAUCUUCCGCAAUGGGCGAAAGCCUGACGGAGCAACGCCGCGUGAGUGAUGAAGGUCUUCGGAUCGUAAAACUCUGUUAUUAGGGAAGAACAUAUGUGUAAGUAACCGUGCACAUCUUGACGGUACCUAAUCAGAAAGCCACGGCUAACUACGUG
RNAcentral lists this ribosomal RNA (497 nucleotides) under uncultured bacterium. Its description in RNAcentral is "partial 16S ribosomal RNA". It matches the Rfam family "Bacterial small subunit ribosomal RNA", at positions 28 to 507 of the family's 1533-position model. The record is from RNAcentral.